Molecule: long non-coding RNA, 1554 nt
Organism: Astatotilapia calliptera (eastern happy)
Lineage: Eukaryota; Metazoa; Chordata; Actinopteri; Cichliformes; Cichlidae
Source: Ensembl
UGCUUGAGAAGCACAGACAGGCUGAAGUCGACAGUUUUCUUUGUUUGCUUUUAAGACUUCAUUUCAGCUCUGUUUACAUUAGCUGGAAGGCCAAGAAAUAAACUAGAAAGUGUGGCCCACAGGCUCUUGUUAGUGACAUGUAGAUAUCAGUCUACAAAGCUAUCUGUCAGCGCUGCGUAAGACCAAUGUAAAAGCAUGAAAAAGCCUUCUGGCUGCUGGGGGAUUUCCAGUGAUGCAGAGCUCUAUUUCACUCCCCUACUUUCAUUUCCCAUGUGUUUAUAUGCCGCGUGUUGUUCUACUGCGUGUUGCCUUCUCGCUCCCAUAGUUUGUGUUUCGUACUCUCUCCGUGCUCCUCUUUUCAGUCUCCUCAUUCCUUUUACUCCCCACUUGGUUACACACUCCAUGAUGGACGGAUGGUUCUGAUGGAUUUCUCUUCCAGUUAAAAAUCACCUUUUCCUUCACACCAUGGCCAAAGGUUUGCUCAAAGAGAGUCUGAUGUAACACAGUUUUACAUCAGGGCCAAUAGAGUUUGACAAACCCUGCUCUAGAGGGUUUUUGCAGCAAAUUUUAAACAAUUUUAUUCAAUAGUUGUUAAAAUAGCCUCUAUAACAGGAUAAAUGAAGAGUCUGACCCAAAAGAAAGCUGCUAUUAGUGAAAGGUCACUAAAAUCAGCUGGAUUCCUCCUGCAGGUACGCAUACUAAAUGUCUUGAUCAUACAAUGGUUGUAGAGAUAGUCCAGUCUGGACCUAAUUGGUGGAUUGUUAUACAAGCACUGACAUCCAUAAGUGCUAAUGUGAAAGAAAAAUAAUAACAGAACAAAAAAAUAAUAAAAGAAAAAAGCCGAAAUGAUGGAGGACACAUCAAACAAAUGUUGCAAUAGGUAGAACUAAAAGCCAAAACAGAUAAACAAAAUCCCACUGCUCAUAAGAACGGCUCACAAUAACAAUACAUUGACAGUAAAGAAAAAGCCCACAUUGAUUCCACUCUGAAACAUGAUUGGUGAUUAUCUGGAUGAGCUCAUGCUUAGCUGAAGUGACAUGAGUAGCUGAAGACAGUCAACAGCUGACGCUUAAUUGGAGCAAAAAAAAAAAAAAACAAUGCUGAGUUCGAUCCUGUAGGUUGGUUGCAGAGGCAAGGAAGAAUCGGUUAAGUGAGGAAGGGUUCGUUAUAAACAGAAGCACAAAAGCAUCGGUCCAAUUAAAACUGACAGAGGUACACGAUCCUGCUCGCUUGUUUGUGUCUGCGUACACAAAUGUCUGUUUACUGUGUUGGUAUGAUUUGUGAGAGAAGAGUUUUAGAGAAUAAUAUGUAUAUAUGGAGAGAGAGAGACAGAGAGAGAGACAGAGAGAGAGAGAGAGAGAGGAUUAUAAAGUAGGUCGAGUUUCGUAUAUUUUAACUGCCAAUAUUAGAAAUCAAAAGAGCCCAGCAUUUAUCUUUUCUCACUUUAUUCUAAAUUCGUGUGUGUGUGUGUGUGUGUGUGUGUGUGUGUGUGUGUGUGUGUGUGUGUGUGUGUGUGUGUGUGUGUGUGUGUGUGUGUGUGUGUGUGUGUGCAAC